AGGCCUUCAUUCUGUGUUCUAGUGCACAACGAGGGUGACGACGGUUGGCAAGACUGUACUGGAGAGUCCAGAACAACUAGAACAGAGGAUUUGGAAUAUUCUUAGCACAACACAUAAAUGCAAGAGGUGAUGGCUGAUUAUCCUGAUUGGAUAUCACACAAGGAACCAGCUGUACUGUGGGCAUACUGCAGCAAGAGAAGGAGUUUGAAUGAACGACAUCAGCGUGGAGCCCACGAUGAGGAGACAAAGAGUAUCCAGCAACGACUUAGACUUGAGUCUUCCACUGCAGAAACUCCAGCUCAGCUGAUGCAGUGGAUAGAAUUAUAUUGUUACUAGAACAAAAUACCUGAGACAAGCAGCGAGUGAAGGAAAGAGAGACUUACUUGGCUCAUGGUUUUGGAGGAUCAAGUCCAAGAUCAUGUGGGCCCUGUUGCUUUGGCUUCUGUAGGUGAUGGCAAUGGUGCAGCACUCGUGGAGGGAGGGUCACGCAGUGAGCCAGGGAGCACAGAGAGAGACCAGACACAGCUCUCUCAUGAGAACUAGCUUCCGAGGGAAAAGCAUGCAUUUGUUCUUUGGAGCUUCGUGCAGUGCCAAGGGUCGGGGCAAGGGAGGCAUGACCAGCCCUGAUAGUUUUCUCUUCAGAUCAUCACCACAGCCAAGAAUCAGGCUCAACCCCAGAAUAUUCAUCUUCACUCCCGUAGACAUCACUCAAGUCAUGGCAGAUACCAUGAAUGACCAGAAGGAAUGGGAACCCCAAAUAGUUCUGGCCGAGUCAAGAGGUUCAGAAUUUCUGUUUCUUAAAUUCAAGGCUAAUAAAUGACUGAUUCAUAAAAUGAAAAAAAAAAAAAAAGGUGGGGAGGAGGUCUGGCUACGUGUCUGGCCCCUGAGUGAUGACAAGUUCAUUUGGGAAGUACUCCAGAUCACGGUUGCACCCCAGAACACAUUUUCUGCACCCCUGAGCUGAGCUGUCCUUGCACAAGAAAUCACGUCUGGUUUUAUCAGUUCAACACAUCACGAAACACAUCUUUUCUGGCCCAGGAAACUGGUAGAUCAAGGAAUACAGAGUACAUGGGCAGCAUUUUCAAGGAGUAUGGAGUCAAGUCUGGGAAACCAGUUGUCCGGUCUCCUUCUCACUGCUACAAAGAAAGCAUGUCAGAGCCUUUGCUGAUAUCUACAACAGGCUGCCCGUAAUGUCAAGUUUACUUGGCUGGAGGUCAUUAAUCAACCCUAGCUGUCAGUUUCAGAAGGAGUCGGCUAACCAGGCACAUCUCAAUUAUUUGCUGUCUGCAUAUUGCAUCAUGUAAUGGCCAUUUAGGAUCUGUGCUCCUGAAGCCUUCCUGGACAGAGACGUGCUCACACCUCCAGAACAUUCCAGGCAUGCUUCCUGGCGGAGCUCAAUUGCUCCUGACUCUCUGCACUGUGCUAAAUGAGGCGAGAUUUAUACUCAGGGAUUUUAGCCUGUCAAUCUGCUCGCUCCCCAAAGACACUUUGAAUGCACAGCAAACAAUGGGGCUCCUUAAGAUGAGCUAAUUUAUCCUUCUUAUGGUUGGCAUCUCCUUGGAAAAAGACUUCUGUCAGCCUUCUAAUUCUUUGUUCUUCCACCAAUGUAUCACCUUUUUACGUUUUCUUUUUACGUCUAAUGCUUUCACUGGAUUUAGGGCGGUGUGUCUUGUUUGGUAAAAAUGCUAAUAAUCGCCUUAGGUGAUGUAGAUUUCAUGAUGUCUUAAAAUCUCUCUUUGUUCCACCAGCAUCUCUAUCUGACUUUGAUAUCACCCUGGUGGGUGUUGUACAGGGAAUACGUAUAUAGAACGAAUUCACUCACUCUUUUUCUCUCCCUCUCUUUUUAAAAUUUAUUUAUUUGAAACUCAGCAUUAGAACGGGAUAAGGGGGAAGAAAGAGAAAGAGAGUUAUAUAUCUUGCAUCCAUUGGUUCACUCCCCAGAUGACCAAAAUGACUAGGGCUGGGCCACGCAAAAGCUAGGAGCCAGGAGCUUCUUCCAGGUCUCCCACAAGGGUGCAGGGGUCCAAGCACUUGGGCCAUUUCCCGCUGCUUUCCAGGCCAUUAGCAGGUUGCUGGAUCAGAAGUGGAGCAGCCGGGACAUGAACCAUCUUCCAUAUCAGAUGCCAACAUGGCACCUUUCCUUGCUACACCACAGUUCCAGCCCCCUCUCUCAUUUUUUUAAGGGUUUGACUUUUUUUUUUCUUUAUUUUCAUUUUAUUUGAAAGGCAGCAAGAGAAUGACAGAGACAGAAACAGACUGAGAGAGAGAGCUUCCAUCCUCUGUUCAUUUCUCAAAUGCUCACCAGCCAGGGUUAGGCCAGACCAAGCCAGAACUCAAUCCAGGGCUCCCACAUGUUGGUGGUGACCCAACUACUUGAACCAUCAGCACUGCCUCCUAGAAGCAGGAAUCAAAGAGGAACUGGGACUUGAACCUGGCACUCCGAUACAGGAUGUGGACUCCCCAGGAGCCAUCUUAGCCAGUCUUAACCAGAGCCCCCCUCUUUCCCUUUCUUUUAACAUGCACACAUGCAUGCCCACAUCACGCAUCCAGACUCACGAAAGCACAGGUGGUUCACAGCGAUGGAUGGCUAUACCAGAAAAGACACAGGACUUUCUUCAUACUGGGAGGGUGUCCGAGAAAGGGUGUUUGCCGUCUGGAUCUGUUAGGAUCUAGGCAGAGAAGAGAUGACACUCACAUAAUAAUCCAAGAACAUCUCAUCAGAGGUGCUUUUAACAAAUAUGGGGGAAAGAUUUGGGGAAACUGGUGCAAAGGAGUGGGGGGCCUUGGGACACAGGGUCCGUAGGUGUGGGAGCCCCUCUCCCACCAGGGAAUGGUUUGGAGGAGGUUGCCCUUUAGGGAUUAAGGACUUCAGGAACAGGAGUGGCCAGCCUCAGCAAGCGGCAGACAGAGCCAGGCUGCAGGUAGCCGAACUCCUCUGCGUGACCCUGUGGCCACACCUGCCCAGGGGGCCGAGGGGCGUGGGUGGCCCCGGCACCCAGAGUGGAGAAGGAUCUGCAGAGACCGGGGUGUCUGGACUCGUUUGUCGGCUCAGGGGUGGUGUUUUAGGGUAUUGGUGGGUUAUUUGCUGUGCACUCUGCUACGCCUCCCAGAAUGUGAGGUGAGCUGACAUUGUUACUGUCACCUGCAGAAGCAUGUCUGGAAAAGAGCUCCCGCCACUCCUGCGCACUCAGAAGACGAGGUCUGCCGGUCACCACAGGACAUUUGCACAGCAUGGGACUCUUGUGCCGAGCCUCUGAGGUGUGCAAACUCAGAGUACAGAGGGGUCUUUCCAACACAGAGCUGCUUCACUCCACACUGCACCACUUAGCACAAAUGCAUCCGUCCCAGCUGAUAGCUCGUGCUCUCUCUCUCUCUCUCUCUCACUCACACACACACACACACACACACACACCUCACUCACUGUCUCAAGACGUAGAUCAUUUCCAUGGUCACUAAGACCCAGGGUGAUGGACAUUCUUACAGUGGUUACAAAGACAUGCGGUAGAAACUCUGUAUCACCUGAAUGGGGAAAUAUGAUCCUUGAAAGUAGUUGGACCUUAGCCCAAAGCCUAGGAACAAGACCCAAGAGGAACUUGUCUUUUUGUAGCUAAGACACAUACAGUCCCUAGCAACCAACUGUCCUGAACCCGACAACAACUUAAGCAAUGAGAAAUACAUAGUUUUGUUUGCUUGUUGCUUUUUCUUUUCUAAGAAAGGAAGCACUCGGUUUUUUUUUAAUAUUUUUAUUUUAUUUUUAUUUUUUUAUUAUUUUUUUGAAAGGCAGAGUGGACAGUGAGAGAGAGAGACAGAGAGAAAGGUCUUCCUUUGCCACUGGUUCACCCUCCAAUGGCCGCUGCUGCCGGCGCACAGCGCUGAUCCGAAGGCAGGAGCCAGGUGCUUCUCCUGGUCUCCCAUGGGGUGCAGGGCCCAAGGACUUGGGCCAUCCUCCACUGCACUCCUGGGCCACAGCAGAGAGCUGGACUGGAAGAGGGGCAACCGGGACAGACUCUGGCGCCCCGACCAGGACUAGAACCCGGUGUGCCGGCGCUGCUAGGUGGAGGAUUAGCCUAUUGAGCCACAGCGCCGGCCUGAAGCACUCGUUUCUUUUUUUUAAGACAUUUAGAUCUCAUUUUGGAUCUAAAGACACAAGAGACAAACUAAACGACGUCUCGAGGUCCCAAUGAAAAGACGAAGAGCCUCCUUCUGGAACAUUCUGUCCACCUAGGAGGGUUUGACUGUGGUCCCUGCCAGACAAAAGAGAGAAGGUGGAGACCUCGUGAGGCUCGUAUUUUUUCAUUACAGAGACAGAGACAGACAUGCUGUCUGCUGCUUCCCACUCCACAGCCCUGUGACAGCCAGGCCAGAACCAGCAGCCUGGAACUCAGUGUGACCCUCCCACGUGAGUGACAAGAACUUGGGCCAUCCCCGGUUGUCUGCCAGGUGCUCCUGAUCAGGGAGCUCUAAUGGGAAGCAGAGCGGCACCAGCACCCAGGCACGCCGGCGUGAGCUGCGGUGUCCCAAGAAGCUUCUUACCUGCUACACCAAAUACCUUCCCUAGAUGUGUGGUUUUUAUUAUUAUUAUUGUGAAACAAACUCUGCUCAAAGCUACAGUGAAUAUGGACUGGAACAAGGAGAGUCACAAACAGCAUUAAAAGCUAAUGAAAAAUCAGCUUUACAUAUGCAAAACAGCAACAGAAAAGUUAACAGAAGACAAGAAAUCAUGUUAUGCUAGCUUCAGUUAAGACGUAGGUAUUUGCCCUGUAUUUUAAUCUAAUCAUUCUUAGAUUUUUUUUUUUUUUAACAUGGGCAAGGGCUACAAACCAAAUAAUAACCAAAUAACCAAAUGGGAAGAUGAUCAUUUCACCCAAGCACAGUACAUUUUAAAAUCAUCACAGAUCAGGGUAGGCAUUGUAGUGUAACACAUACAGCUGCCGUUUGUGACACCGGCAUCCCCUAUGGACGCUAAUUCAAGUCCUGGCUGUUCCACUUCCGUCCAGCUUCCUGCUAAUGUGCCUAGGAAAGCAGCGGAGGAUGGCCACGUGUUUGAGCCCCUACCACUCACAUCAGACCCCAAAAGAAGCUCCUGGCUCCUGGUUUCAGUCUUGGCCCAAUCCUGGCCAUUGUAGCCAUCUGGAGAGUGAACCAGCAGAUGCAAGACCUCUCUCUUCUGGCUCUCCCUCAGUCUUUGUAACUCUUUCAAAUAAAUAAUUCAUUUUUAAAAAUCAUCGAUCAUUACAACUAUAGCAGGCGUGUGACUUGGUAAAGUAGAUGCACCUGCUCUGAGCGAUGUCAGGAACUGCCACCGAGUCGGACAGAUUUGAGAGACAGCAGGGUCCCCGCCGUUCAACACAGAAUCUUGCUGAGGACUUCAUGAGCCUCUGACGCCCAGACGUGGUGCACACAAAAUUACACGGGGCCCUUUGUUUCCAUUUACCUGAACCACAGCUUGAAAAAAAUCAUCAUGUGAACUUUUUCAGGGCUCUCAGUCUAACAUUUGCCUAGCAAACACAGUCUAGAUAAAGAAAGAAGCGCGUAGCGUCUGUGGAAGCGAAAGACGUUUCUAUCAGAAUCGACUUCUCGGAACAGCCGAGGGGAGAGCACUUUAAAAGCCAUUGCUCAGGAGACAGGAGCAGAAACGUGGACUCUGUGCAUUGCACGUAGACUAGAGGGGUUAAAUCCUCAGCAGCUGAACACUUCAUUCUACAAGGCGCCUGCCCUGGCCUUGCAGGCAUUGCUUGUGUGCCCCCAGCAGCGCGUGAGUCUGGGUGUGCCUUCUAUGCUGCCAUCCAGUUCCCAGGCACAGUGGGACCCCAGCACCUGGCCCCACAUCAAGAACCUGUAGCCGGGGGGCCGGCACUGUGGCACAGUGGGUUAAUGCCCUGACCUAAAGCGCCAGCAUCCUAUAUGGGUACCGUUUCUAGUCCUGGCUGCUCCACUUCUGAUCCAGCUCUCUGCUAUGGGCUGGGAAAGCAGUAGAAGAUGACCCAAGUCUUUGGGUCCCUGCACCCGCAUGGGAGACCAGGAGGAAGCUCCUGGCUUCAGAUCAGCUCAGCUCCAACUGUUGUGGCUAUUUGGGAAGUGAAACAGCAGAUGGAAGACCUCCCUCUCUCUUUCUCUCUCUGUCUGUAACUCUGCCUCUCAAAUAAAUAAAUAAAUGUGUUUU
This is a non-coding RNA of Oryctolagus cuniculus (rabbit), 6163 nucleotides long. The record is from RefSeq and is a predicted model, not a curated record. NCBI's taxonomy places the organism in Eukaryota, Metazoa, Chordata, Mammalia, Lagomorpha, Leporidae.